UACGUAGGGUGCAAGCGUUAAUCGGAAUUAUUGGGCGUAAAGAGCUCGUAGGUGGUUCGAUACGUCGGAUGUGAAAAUCAGGGGCCCAACCCCUGACCUGCAUUCGAUACGGUCGAGCUAGAGUGUGGUAGGGGAGACUGGAAUUCCUGGUGUAGCGGUGGAAUGCGCAGAUAUCAGGAGGAACACCGAUGGCGAAGGCAGGUCUCUGGGCCAUUACUGACACUGAGGAGCGAAAGCGUGGGGAGCGAACAGGAUUAGAUACCCUGGUAGUCCACGCCGUAAACGGUGGGCGCUAGUUGUGCGAACCUUCCACGGUUUGUGCGACGCAGCUAACGCAUUAAGCGCCCCGCCUGGGGAGUACGAUCGCAAGAUUAAAACUCAAAGGAAUUGACGGGGCCCCGCACAAGCAGCGGAGCAUGCGGCUUAAUUCGACGCAACGCGAAGAACCUUACCAAGGCUUGACAUAUACAGGAAUACGGCAGAGAUGUCGUAGCCGCAAGGUCUGUAUACAGGUGGUGCAUGGUUGUCGUCAGCUCGUGUCGUGAGAUGUUGGGUUAAGUCCCGCAACGAGCGCAACCCUCGUUCUGUGUUGCCAGCAUUUAGUUGGGGACUCACAGGAGACUGCCGGGGUUAACUCGGAGGAAGGUGGGGAUGACGUCAAAUCAUCAUGCCCCUUAUGUCUUGGGCUGCACGCAUGCUACAAUGGCUGGUACAAACGGCUGCAAUACCGCAAGGUGGAGCGAAUCCGAGAAAGCCAGUCUCAGUUCGGAUUGGGGUCUGCAACUCGACCCCAUGAAGUCGGAGUUGCUAGUAAUCGUAGAUCAGCAACGCUACGGUGAAUACGUUCCCGGGGCU
Molecule: ribosomal RNA, 855 nt
Filed under: uncultured bacterium
Lineage: Bacteria
Description: SSU rRNA
Rfam family: Bacterial small subunit ribosomal RNA
Source: RNAcentral